UCUCACUGUGUCACCCAGGCUGGAGUGCAAUGGUGUGAUCUUGGCUCACUGCAACCUCUGCCUCCCAGGGUUCAAGUGAUUCUCCUGCCUCAGCCUCCCCAGUAGCUGGGACUACAGGUACUAUGCAAUUUACGACUCUGGAGACCGGCAAGGGCUCCUGGAUGCCUACCAUGAUGGGGCCUGCUGUUCCCUGAGCAUUCCUUUCAUUCCUCAGAACCCUGCCCGAAGCAGCUUAGCCGAGUAUUUCAAGGAUAGCAGAAAUGUGAAGAAGCUUAAAGACCCUACCUUGCGGUUCCGGCUGCUGAAGCACACGCGUCUCAACGUUGUUGCCUUCCUCAAUGAGUUGCCCAAAACCCAGCACGACGUCAAUUCCUUCGUGGUAGACAUAAGCGCCCAGACAAGCACAUUGCUGUGUUUUUCUGUCAAUGGAGUCUUCAAGGAAGUGGACGGAAAGUCCCGGGAUUCUUUGCGAGCCUUCACCCGGACAUUCAUUGCUGUUCCUGCUAGCAAUUCAGGGCUAUGUAUUGUAAACGACGAGCUAUUUGUGCGGAAUGCCAGUUCUGAAGAGAUCCAAAGAGCCUUCGCUAUGCCUGCACCCACGCCUUCCUCCAGCCCGGUGCCCACCCUCUCUCCAGAGCAGCAGGAAAUGUUGCAAGCAUUCUCUACCCAGUCUGGCAUGAACCUCGAGUGGUCCCAGAAGUGCCUUCAGGACAACAACUGGGACUACACCAGAUCUGCCCAGGCCUUCACUCAUCUCAAGGCCAAGGGCGAGAUCCCAGAAGUGGCAUUCAUGAAGUGAUCGUAGUCAUGCCUCAGAAGCAGUCCCCCCUGUAAAUAGUCCUUGGAUAUUACCGUCUGGUUGUCGUCUGUCAUCUCCUCCUGUCUGGCCCGAGGCCGCCCCGUGACUGUGACCGAGGGAGGG
RNAcentral lists this small RNA (922 nucleotides) under Pan troglodytes (chimpanzee). RNAcentral describes it as "processed transcript". Lineage: Eukaryota; Metazoa; Chordata; Mammalia; Primates; Hominidae. The record is from RNAcentral.